RNAcentral lists this small nuclear RNA (165 nucleotides) under Pogona vitticeps (central bearded dragon). RNAcentral describes it as "U1 spliceosomal RNA (ENSPVIG00000012023.1)". It matches the Rfam family "U1 spliceosomal RNA". From Rfam's summary of the family: U1 is a small nuclear RNA (snRNA) component of the spliceosome (involved in pre-mRNA splicing). The record is from Rfam by way of RNAcentral. Lineage: Eukaryota; Metazoa; Chordata; Lepidosauria; Squamata; Agamidae.
ACUCAUACCUUGCGUGGGAAAUGCCAUGUCAUAAAAGUGGUUUUCCCAGGGUGAGGUUCAUCCAUUGCACUUCAGAUAUGCUGCUGAUCCCUGUGAUUUCCCCAAAUGUGGGCAACUCAAUUGCAUAGUUUACAUUAAUGGGAAGAUUACACUUGUGAUUUCUUU